RNAcentral lists this long non-coding RNA (2540 nucleotides) under Fragaria vesca (wild strawberry). RNAcentral describes it as "long non-coding RNA (FVES_LNC001299)". Lineage: Eukaryota; Viridiplantae; Streptophyta; Magnoliopsida; Rosales; Rosaceae. The record is from RNAcentral.
AACUCCUUCAGAAAACCUCUCUGGCUUAAACUCUUUUGCAUCAUCACCCCACAGUUCCUUGUCAUGGUGAAUGAGCAGUGCUGGUAACCCGACUUGGACUCCAGCUGGUAAUGAGAAUUUCCCGAAUUGUGUUUUCUUACGUGUGGUUCGAGAAACCACAACUAAUGCUGGGUAUAAUCGUAGAACUUCAAGCAAAACCAUCGUUACCUGAGGAAUCAUACACAGGUGAGUUUAACUAAUAUCACAGAUCAUUCCAUUACGCAUUACAAAUACUUACUGCUUUUAGGUGAGUUAAACCAUCAAAGUCCGGCUUGUUCAUUCCAAAGACCUGCAAAACCUCUUCUCUUGCUUGGUCUUGCCAAUUCUGAUUUUGACAAAGCAAUACCAUUGUCCAAACCAAUAACACUGAAGUGGUCUCUUGCCCAGCAAAGUAGAAAAGCUUACAUUCCUCAAUCACAUCUUCAAUACUCAUACCAACAUUUUUGUUGUUCUUCCCAUGAUCCUGAAUGUCCUUCAUGUUGGACUCCAAAAGUGCACCCAAUAAGUCAUCCUUGGUGGCUUCACCUGCCUUAAUGGCUUGCUCUCUUUUAUUUAUAAUACCCUCGACUAAACCUCUUAUUUCUUCAUGAAUUUGUUUCAUCCUCUUGUUCAUCUUAGUUGGUACAAACCUACACAAUAAAACUGCUUCAAUCAGAAAGCAACCUUAAGGAAUUGUGAUGUAACAUCUCAAGGAAGUUUAAUUUUUACCUCCAUCCUGGAAUGUAAACUCUUUGUACGGUUUUCAUUGCAUAUACUGCUUGCUCUUUUAGGAGUUCAAAUAUUUUUUGUCCUUCUUGAUAGCUACUUCCAAAUGCUGUUCGAGAAAUCACAUCAGCUGUUAAAUUUUGAAGAGAAGGCCAGACAUCAAUCUCACAUGACGAACCCUCUUUGGACACAACAGUCUCCCAUUCUUUGAUCAUGUCAUUACAACUUUGGUAAAAUGCCGGUAACAUACGCUGUUUACACAAAACCACAGUUGAUCAUUACAAACAAAGAAGUAAGUUAACCCUUACUUUGAUUCUUUACAGUGUGUGCGCGCGCGCUGUGUAUAAUACCUUUACUUUUUCGGAAUGGAAUGUUGGGUUGAUAAUCCUUCUGUGUUUAGCCCAUUUCUCCCCUUCAUAGUUUGCAAGACCUGUUGAUAGCAACUUGAUAAGUGGGUUUGAUACUGGCUUUGGGAAAUCACUAGGUUUUGCAAACACAUCUUUCAGAUCUUCCGGAUUCAUAAUGUUCACCCGUGGUAGAGGGCCAACCCAUACAAAAGAGUUUUUACCUGAAAAAAGUUACAAGUUAUAACCCUCAAGUCAGCAUUAUUAUUAUAAGUUAAUAUACAUCUGUAAGUUUGGUCCUUUUUAAAUUUAGUUUUCUGACUUCGAAAGUUAAACUAAGUAAAACAGUAACUUUUAGACGUAUUCAAAGUUUCAAACAUAUGUAAAACAUAUCAAGUACGUAUGUAAUAUAUAUGAAACUGUCCAUCAAUCAUAUGUAUCUAAGUAUCUAACCACAACAUCUUGUGAAGAAUCGUCAAACAUAUGCACAAAUUAAUUACUCGUAAAGGAUAUGUAAAACAUAUGUAUAGGAAAUAACGUGCUAUGGAUGUUUGAGCUAGAUCCAAGUUUACAACGCCUCAUGGUUAACUCUAUAGCUAUUUAACCUUGUUAAUCACAAACAUAUGGACCUUAAUUUUUACUGUUAAUUAUGUAAAGUACGUACUUACCGUAAGUUUUAACAGUUUGAUCGAGAAGAGGUAUGACUCGAGGUGAUAUGUCAUGGGAGGUUGAGAGGUUCAUGGGUUUUGAUUUUGCUUCUUUCACCAUGAUAGCAUUCUCUUUCAUAUCUCCAUAAAAAAGCCUGUAAGCAUUGCCUUGGAAGCCUUGCUGCCUCAAACAUCUUUCGAGCUUCUUUGGCUUAAACCACACCCAAUCCAGAAGACUCCAUGCCCAUCGAACUAUUAUGCUCACAAAGACAAGGCUCAGGGCUACACUAGUAGCCACUGCUGCUUCCAUAUUUGACGUCUGUAUAUUUAGCGCUACAGCUAAUAAGCUUUUGAAACAAAACAGGGAGCGAAAGAGAACCUCUAAUCUAGCUAAUAACUGAGAGCGAGGUUAUUAGCUUCCUCAACUUUUUGCCUCUACCCUGAAAGUCUCAUAAAUAAUAGAAGUUGGAAAUCUAUGGAAAAACGACACUCGAUCAGAAAUUUCUCGUACAUGAAAAUAUCUGAAAUAAAUUUAUUUUUUUCUGAAAUAGUUAAUGGCAUGAUUUCUGUUUGUGGAUACGUAAAAAUUUGUUGUCAUUUGUUUGGAAUUUGGGAUUGAAUUUUGUCUUUGCCACGCAUAAUACUCCACAUCUCUGUGUAGUGUAAGCAUGAUCACAUGUAUAUGUGCAGGAGGAGGAGAUAAGAGAAUUAGCAAACAAGUGAUCGAUCUCUAUCUUCGUGGUGUUUGUGGUGCCAUGAAAAUAUAUCAUAUGUACGUGAUUUUAAGUGGUUUUCGCGUCUUUCC